GAUGAACGCUAGCGGCAGGCUUAACACAUGCAAGUCGAGGGGCAGCGCGAUGUAGCAAUACAUUGGCGGCGACCGGCGCACGGGUGCGUAACACGUAUGGAAUCUGCCCUUUACUGGGGGAUAGCCCGGAGAAAUCCGGAUUAAUACCCCAUAACAAUCGAGGUGGCAUCACCUUGAUUUGAAAGCUCCGGCGGUAAAGGAUGACCAUGCGCACGAUUAGCUAGUAGGUGAGGUAACGGCUCACCUAGGCUACGAUCGUUAGGGGGCCUGAGAGGGUUAUCCCCCACACUGGUACUGAGACACGGACCAGACUCCUACGGGAGGCAGCAGUGAGGAAUAUUGCGCAAUGGAGGCAACUCUGACGCAGCCAUGCCGCGUGCAGGAAGAAGGCGCUACGCGUUGUAAACUGCUUUUAACCGGGAAGAAACCCCUCUACGUGUGGAGGGUUGACGGUACCGGAGGAAUAAGCACCGGCUAACUUCGUGCCAGCAGCCGCGGUAA
This 501-nucleotide ribosomal RNA is filed under the name uncultured bacterium. RNAcentral's name for it is "bacterial SSU rRNA". It matches the Rfam family "Bacterial small subunit ribosomal RNA", at positions 28 to 523 of the family's 1533-position model. The record is from RNAcentral.